AUGUUGAUGCAAGAUUAUUUCGCGGAGAAUCAUACAUAUCCUCCGCACCUCUUUCGGAGAAGGUACCGAAUGCGCCGAUCCCUCUUUGUGAAACUUGUUGAAGCUUGCGAGGCAAAUUGCCGGUAUUUUACUCAAAGAAGAAAUGCAGCGGGCUUAAAGGGAUUUAGUGCAUAUCAAAAAAUCUCCGCAGCUGUGCGGGUGAUUGCAUAUGAUGUUCCGGCUGACUAUGCCGAUGAGUAUCUUCGCAUUGGUGAAGAUAGCACAACUGAGGUUGUGCACUAUUUGUAUUCAUGA
Molecule: ribosomal RNA, 294 nt
Filed under: Triticum aestivum (bread wheat)
Lineage: Eukaryota; Viridiplantae; Streptophyta; Magnoliopsida; Poales; Poaceae
Description: partial small subunit ribosomal RNA
Source: RNAcentral